UACGUAGGCAGCAAGCGUUGUUCGGAGUUACUGGGCGUAAAGGGUGCGUAGGCGGCUUUGUAAGUUUGGUGUGAAAUCUCCCGGCUUAACUGGGAGGGUGCGCUAUAGACUGUGGGGCUAGAGUGCGGGAGAGGAAAGUGGAAUUCCUGGUGUAGCGGUGAAAUGCGUAGAUAUCAGGAGGAACACCGGUGGUGUAAACGGCUUUCUGGACCGUAACUGACGCUGAUGCACGAAAGCGUGGGUAGCAAACAGG
This 253-nucleotide ribosomal RNA is filed under the name uncultured bacterium. Its description in RNAcentral is "partial 16S ribosomal RNA". It matches the Rfam family "Bacterial small subunit ribosomal RNA", at positions 524 to 776 of the family's 1533-position model. The record is from RNAcentral.